This 271-nucleotide transfer RNA is filed under the name Wollea vaginicola BTA1023. RNAcentral's name for it is "partial miscellaneous RNA". The stretch from base 109 to 181 matches the Rfam family "tRNA". Lineage: Bacteria; Bacillati; Cyanobacteriota; Cyanophyceae; Nostocales; Nostocaceae. The record is from RNAcentral.
UCUGGUUCGAGUCCAGGAUGGCCCACCUGAAAACAGUGAACAGUAAACAGUGACCAGUGUUCAGUAAAAAACUGAUAACUGAAAACUGGUAACUGGUAACUGAAUGAUGGGGGUUUAGCUCAGUUGGUAGAGCGCCUGCUUUGCAAGCAGGAUGUCAGCGGUUCGAGUCCGCUAACCUCCACCUAAAAAGAAAAAAGCAAAAGGGAAAAACAGCACCUAUCGAGAGAGAUAGAAUGCUGGAUGUAUCCAGCCAGAACCUUGAAAACUGCAA